Molecule: microRNA precursor, 78 nt
Organism: Gallus gallus (chicken)
Lineage: Eukaryota; Metazoa; Chordata; Aves; Galliformes; Phasianidae
Source: Ensembl
UACCUGUGUGACUGUGGAGAGGAUAUGAGAAAGUGGGAUGGAAAACCCACCUCAGUCCUACAUGCACGGGCAGGUGAG